Long non-coding RNA from Bactrocera dorsalis (oriental fruit fly), 993 nucleotides. RefSeq lists it as uncharacterized. The record is from RefSeq and is a predicted model, not a curated record. The transcript is spliced from 3 exons. NCBI's taxonomy places the organism in Eukaryota, Metazoa, Arthropoda, Insecta, Diptera, Tephritidae.
AACUACUCAAAUGCUAAUUUAUUUGCUUAUCAAAACAUUAAAAAGUGAUACUUAUCGACUAACCGAAGACAUUCUUCAUUAUAGAGGCAAAGCAACACACAAACGAGUUAACUAAAAAGCAAUAAAAACAACAAUGAACUGAAAGCAGAAAAAACAACACGAAAAAACUACGCCAACAAAAUUAACAAAAUAUUGAAUUUCAUAGUAAAUAAAUUUUACUAAAAAUUUGUAACGAACACGAAGCAGCAGAACACGAAGAACACGAAGAGCAGAGAAAAUUUCACAAGAAAUCAUAAAAAUUUUGAUUGCUUACAUUAAAAAGGGCCGCAACAAGCCACGAGAUUUGGCUGCCUUUGAGAAAGAGUACACUGAAGACACCACGUAAAAACACGAUAUGAAAAAGACGUCGAAAAAGCAACAAAAAAGAAUAUAUAAACAAAUAAUAAAAUACUGUACGCCGAUGUUGAAUAAAAGUAAUGAAUUAAGAAGCAUCAUUGGUGAUGGGAACACAGCAUGAAAGCCAAUCAACACCAACAACCAACUGACGGCUUCGUAAGAAUUACUGUAUUUGGGCGAUAACUCAUCUGCUAACGAUAAUGGAGCGAGUGAAAUUGGCGCGCCAGUAGACAUCGUGAGUAUGAGCGUCGUUCGCUGUGUAUGUGUGCGUGUGAGCGGCGCUUACGGAAGCACCUUGUACGAACACUCAACUGACCGCCUGAACACUGGCGCACGGGAACCCUUGGAUGCUGGAAGUCAGCAAUAAUGUUCGGCACUCGAGAAAUUAUGCGUGCCUCACUGGCUGAGCGACCGGCACGCUGGAUGCAAGACCCGGCUGGCAACCACAAAAUGUCUUCGCUACCCGCACUCAACGCACCACAACUUGAGGGCGUAAGCUUCGCGCCCAUUUAUGCGAUGAUCCAGUAAGGCGUUCUGCUGUCAACACGGAAGCAUGUUUUUUCCGAGGCUUUGCCGAAAAUGACGUCGUCAUGACCG